This 252-nucleotide ribosomal RNA is filed under the name uncultured bacterium. Its description in RNAcentral is "partial 16S ribosomal RNA". It matches the Rfam family "Bacterial small subunit ribosomal RNA", at positions 524 to 776 of the family's 1533-position model. The record is from RNAcentral.
UACGGAGGAUGCGAGCGUUAUCCGGAUUUACUGGGUUUAAAGGGUGCGUAGGCGGAUCGUUAAGUCAGUGGUCAAAUUGAGGGGCUCAACCCCUUCCCGCCAUUGAAACUGGCGAUCUUGAGUGGAAGAGAAGUAUGCGGAAUGCGUGGUGUAGCGGUGAAAUGCAUAGAUAUCACGCAGAACCCCGAUUGCGAAGGCAGCAUGCCGGCUUCCGACUGACGCUGAAGCACGAAAGCGUGGGGAUCGAACAGG